CUGGGAUAUUAUCAGAGCCAAUCUGCAGAGGGCAGCCAUACCUGGGAAUAAUUUCAGUAACAAUAAUCUUCACUAGAAUCUUCCCUAGAUGUCACAAAGGCCUCAUGCCAUCUACUAAACUGAUCAAUUAUGACCAGUAAGUAUUGCUGUUUCUUACCAAUUUUGGAUACAUGAAUAAAAUCAAUCUGUAAGUGUGUAAAAAGAGCAGCGUUCACACGAUCUUACAAAAG
This 230-nucleotide long non-coding RNA is filed under the name Pelobates cultripes (western spadefoot toad). The record is from RNAcentral. Lineage: Eukaryota; Metazoa; Chordata; Amphibia; Anura; Pelobatidae.